UUUAAGUGUAAUUAUAGGUUUCUAUUUCUAACGUUUGAUCUAUCAUCUUAUUUGAAAUUCUUUUAUAUUAGUUUUUUAUUAGAUAAUAAAACUGAAUAGUACUUUGUGCGUGACUUAUUUUAAAAAAAUUCUUAUAUUUUUUUCAAAUAUGUUACGACAAACAUUGAACACGGAAAUUCAAAACUGCACUUAAA
Molecule: microRNA precursor, 194 nt
Filed under: Oryza glumipatula
Lineage: Eukaryota; Viridiplantae; Streptophyta; Magnoliopsida; Poales; Poaceae
Description: MIR812 microRNA precursor family
Rfam family: MIR812 microRNA precursor family
Source: Rfam by way of RNAcentral